CUAGCUUCCCAAACUGUGAGAAAUGUUUCUAUUGUUUAAGUCACCCAGUCUGUGGUUUUGUUAGGGCAGUCUGACCUGGUACAUACAAUUAUUCGGGAAGCUGGCAAAAACAGAUGUGGACUUCAGGAAAGAGACUGAGCUGCCACAACUUCAAAGAAGGCAUACAAACUCCUAAGCCUAAAGGAUGAAAUCAGCUCUGUGGGUGUCAAAUGAGUGGUGCAUGUGAAAACUCCUUGAAAAGGAUGAGGACUUUGGCGAGCGCUCAAGACAGUAAGUAAGGAUUCAGUAAGUUUUCUACAGAUGAACGCAGGACCUUUAAACAGCAUGCUGUACAUUUCUCACCUUCUGGAAGGACAAAUGUAAAGAAGAAAUGAUCACCUUAAGCUAUGCAAUGCUAAAUCAGGAAUCAAUUAAAUAGCUGGAUCACUCAUCCCAUCUGGCACAUUUUCACUUCUCAAAUAGCAAAAUUGAUAAAGCUAGUGUUUUUUAAAGUCUAUCAAUAAAAUGCCUCUCAUAGAGUAUAUUAUAAUAAUAUUUCUGGAACUAUAUCUCUUCCUGUUUGCUUGAUUGCAAAAUCAUCUACCCUCAUUAACUUCUUGAGGCAGAUCAAAAAACGAGUUUGAAAGAGAUACAAUUUAUAUAAGUAUACCUAACAUUUUGGUUGAAAGAUAUUUUAUAAACUUAGGGCAUUCCAGACUUUCUAUUUAAUUAAAAGCUUUUAUUAAGCAUUAGAACACUGUGGUUGGUAAAAGUAUUGUUUCCAUUUCUUAGCAUGUAUAUUUUGUCCAUCAUUUGCAUUAAUAUAUAUUAGUUUAAAAUUCAUAGGCUUCUGAUUUCAAAGUCUAUAUGUUAUUUAUGUAACCUCUGUUCUCUGUAACAGAAUAAAAAUGCAAAGUGAAUUGAAAUGCUUUUCAACUUCCUCAAAUAUUCCUCCCAUUUUACUUGAUCAUAAUUCCAAUAUCCUUAUUUUAGUUACUAAAAUUGAAUAAGAGGAUAUAACAGUUUUAAGUAAUCAGAAAGAACUUAUUACUAGCCCUUUAUUUAUCUAGAAAAAGGAAAGAAGGAGUAGCAAUUCUGUUUUAAAAUAAUGUAUCCUAGAAGGAUCACAGAAUCAGAACAGGAAAAAAAAAAAAAAUCCCAAUCUGAUGUAACUGAGAGUUCUUGAGUAAGUUUCACUUCCUCAGACCUUGGUUUUUUCAUAGGUCACAGAACAAACAAGUAGCUGAAGUAGGAUUCAAACAUGUGCCUCCUCCAAGGAGUAUACCAUCUAGAGGGCACCAACAGUAAUACUGAAAUGUCUAUGUAGUGAAUCUACAGAUUGGAAUACAACUAGGUGAUUCAGGAAAAACAAUUAAGGAAAGAUUAAUGGUUAUUUUCUUGAUAGUGAAUUUUGAAAGCUAUUAAAAUACUGCUGUGUUAGUUUUAGAAGUAGAUUGCAAACCAGUAAAUCUAGUGAGGCUAGGCAUAGUGUAGAUACCUGCCAUUUAACAACAUAGAGAUACUUCAUAAAAAUUUCUCUAAUAUAACAAGAAAAUAACUAGAUUAUAACUAUAGACAACAGUUUCCCUAACACAAUCAUUAUGGGGCUUUAAUGAUCACUGUUUUCUAACAAAUUUCUUUAAAAACAAAUUUGGCUACCUUCUAUUGGGUUGCUUUUGAUCUCUGCUCUAUAGGAAAUACAAUUUUCUUGUCAUUCUUCCUUUCAAUUCUUUGAAUUUUACCUUCACUCUUUAUAUCCUCUUUAUCAUUCUCAUUACCAUGUUUUCUCUGGGUCUUUUAUUCCCCCAAGUGUAUUUCACUUUCCACUGCAAUUUCU
This is a long non-coding RNA of Cervus elaphus (red deer), 1816 nucleotides long. RefSeq lists it as uncharacterized. The transcript is spliced from 3 exons. The record is from RefSeq and is a predicted model, not a curated record. Lineage: Eukaryota; Metazoa; Chordata; Mammalia; Artiodactyla; Cervidae.